GGCUUAACCUUGGAACUGCCAUCAAAACUUUUUGACUAGAGUAUGAUAGAGGAAAGUGGAAUUUCUAGUGUAGAGGUGAAAUUCGUAGAUAUUAGAAAGAACACCAAUUGCGAAGGCAACUUUCUGGAUCAUUACUGACACUGAGGAGCGAAAGCAUGGGUAGCGAAGAGGAUUAGAUACCCUCGUAGUCCAUGCCGUAAACGAUGUGUGCUAGACGUUGGAAAUUUAGUUUUCAGUGUCGCAGCGAAAGCGUUAAGCACACCGCCUGGGGAGUACGACCGCAAGGUUAAAACUCAAAUGAAUUGACGGGGACCCGCACAAGUAGUGGAGCAUGUGGUUUAAUUCGAAGAUACGCGCAGAACCUUACCAACACUUGACAUGUUCGUCGCGACUCUAAGAGAUUAGAGUCUUCGGUUCGGCCGGACGAAACACAGGUGCUGCAUGGCUGUCGUCAGCUCGUGUCGUGAGAUGUUGGGUUAAGUCCCGCAACGAGCGCAACCCUUACUUUUAGUUGCUACCAUUUAGUUGGGCACUCUAAAAGAACUGCCGGUGAUAAGCUGGAGGAGGGUGGGGAUGACGUCAAGUCCUCAUGGCCCUUAUGUGUUGGGCUACACACGUGCUACAAUGGUACUCACAGUGAGAAGCGAAGAGGCGACUCUAAGCUAAUCCCUAAAAAGUACCUCAGUUCGGAUUGUACUCUGCAACUCGAGUACAUGAAGCUGGAAUUACUAGUAAUCGCGGAUCAGCGCGCCGCGGUGAAUACGUUCCCGGGUCUUGUACACACCGCCCGUCACACCAUGGAAGUUGGUUACACCUGAAGGCAAAGAAUAAA
This 832-nucleotide ribosomal RNA is filed under the name uncultured prokaryote. Its description in RNAcentral is "bacterial SSU rRNA". It matches the Rfam family "Bacterial small subunit ribosomal RNA", at positions 606 to 1438 of the family's 1533-position model. The record is from RNAcentral.